GAUGAACGCUGGCGGCGUGCCUAAUACAUGCAAGUCGAGCGAACAGAUAAGGAGCUUGCUCCUUUGACGUUAGCGGCGGACGGGUGAGUAACACGUGGGUAACCUACCUAUAAGACUGGGAUAACAUCGGGAAACCGGAGCUAAUACCGGAUAAUAUUUCGAACCGCAUGGUUCGAUAGUGAAAGAUGGUUUUGCUAUCACUUAUAGAUGGACCCGCGCCGUAUUAGCUAGUUGGUAAGGUAACGGCUUACCAAGGCGACGAUACGUAGCCGACCUGAGAGGGUGAUCGGCCACACUGGAACUGAGACACGGUCCAGACUCCUACGGGAGGCAGCAGUAGGGAAUCUUCCGCAAUGGGCGAAAGCCUGACGGAGCAACGCCGCGUGAGUGAUGAAGGUCUUCGGAUCGUAAAACUCUGUUAUUAGGGAAGAACAUACGUGUAAGUAACUGUGCACGUCUUGACGGUACCUAAUCAGAAAGCCACGGCUAACUACGUG
This 497-nucleotide ribosomal RNA is filed under the name uncultured bacterium. Its description in RNAcentral is "partial 16S ribosomal RNA". It matches the Rfam family "Bacterial small subunit ribosomal RNA", at positions 28 to 507 of the family's 1533-position model. The record is from RNAcentral.